CCAGUCCAUGCCGCGUGUGUGAAGAAGGCCUUCGGGUUGUAAAGCACUUUUGUCCGGAAAGAAAUCCUCCUGGUUAAUACCCGGUUGGGAUGACGGUACCCGAAGAAUAAGCACCGGCUAACUACGUGCCAGCAGCCGCGGUAAUACGAAGGGUGCAAGCGUUACUCGGAAUUACUGGGCGUAAAGCGUGCGCAGGCGGUUCUUUAAGACCGAUGUGAAAUCCCCGGGCUCAACCUGGGAACUGCAUUGGAGACUGGGGGACUAGAGUGUGGCAGAGGGGGGUAGAAUUCCUGGUGUAGCAGUGAAAUGCGUAGAGAUGUGGAGGAAUAUCCAUGGCGAAGGCAGCCCCCUGGACCAAUACUGACGCUCAUGCACGAAAGCGUGGGGAGCAAACAGGAUUAGAUACCCUGGUAGUCCACGCCCUAAACGAUGUCAACUGGUUGUCGGGUCUUCUUUGACUUGGUAACUCAACUAACGCGUGAAGUUUACCCCCUGGGGAGUAACGGUCUCAAAAUUAAAUCCAAGGGAGUUUUUUCGGGG
RNAcentral lists this ribosomal RNA (540 nucleotides) under uncultured Burkholderia sp. RNAcentral describes it as "partial 16S ribosomal RNA". It matches the Rfam family "Bacterial small subunit ribosomal RNA", at positions 387 to 918 of the family's 1533-position model. Lineage: Bacteria; Pseudomonadati; Pseudomonadota; Betaproteobacteria; Burkholderiales; Burkholderiaceae. The record is from RNAcentral.